UACAGAGGUCCCAAGCGUUGUUCGGAUUCACUGGGCGUAAAGGGUGCGUAGGUGGUCGGGUAAGUCCGAUGUGAAAUCUCCAGGCUCAACCUGGAAAUGGCAUUGGAUACUAUUCGGCUUGAGGAGUGGAGGGGGGGACUGGAAUUCUCGGUGUAGCAGUGAAAUGCGUAGAUAUCGAGAGGAACACCAGUGGCGAAGGCGAGUCCCUAGACACUUCCUGACACUGAGGCACGAAAGCUAGGGGAGCAAACAGG
RNAcentral lists this ribosomal RNA (254 nucleotides) under uncultured bacterium. RNAcentral's name for it is "partial 16S ribosomal RNA". It matches the Rfam family "Bacterial small subunit ribosomal RNA", at positions 524 to 776 of the family's 1533-position model. The record is from RNAcentral.